This 3957-nucleotide long non-coding RNA is filed under the name Anthonomus grandis grandis. RNAcentral's name for it is "uncharacterized LOC126742471". Lineage: Eukaryota; Metazoa; Arthropoda; Insecta; Coleoptera; Curculionidae. The record is from RNAcentral.
UUUAGCAGAAGAAGCGAAGUUAUUUGUUUAUUAUUUUUUUUUAAAUAUUGAUAUUUUUCUUUUUUAUAAAAAAAAAAUAUAAAAAAAUAAAUAAGUUCGCCUCUAGUAAAUGCGUUUUUAAAAAAUUAACCCUAAUAACAUUUUAUGAAAUUUUUAAUAAUAAACCUAGCAAACGUGUAAUAGCAAAAUAUGGCAAUUUUCAUCAAAUUUUAGAAUAUUUACUACGUCUCGGCAUACUUGGCAGCAUUGCUUUAUGCUUUAUCGAUCCAAGAUCUACUGGCGAGCGUCGUUCCCGUGUCACCCCAAUGUUAAAAAAUAUUAAUAUAUAGUAAUGUAAUAAAUUAUGUAGGUUGAAUAUUAACAAAUACGAAAAGUUUGGACUACCUGAUUUUAGUUAUUUUUCGAACUUUUGUCCACAAUCCUUUUUGGUUUGUGAUGUAGCGUUGAUGUGUUUACAAAUUUGCCGUACGCUGCAAUAUUAUUAAUAAUUGUUAUUAGUAGGCAACUAAUAACAAUUAAUAAUAUUAGGUACUUAGGUUAGAUUAGUAGGAUAUUUAGUAAAUUUUGUUUUUUUUUGUUUGAAUUUUUAAGCCUGUCUGCAAGCGACUGUCGCCGCGCCAUCGCGUCGCCUCGGUGCCGCCUUACCCCAUUGUUAAACAAUAAUGUUAUAUUAUAUUCAGGUAGAAUAAUGAGAAAAACGAAAAUUUUAGACUGGGUACCUGAAUAACUGUAACUUUUUACGUACCCUAACACUUUUUAGUUUGUGAUGUGCCGUUGUAUAUGGAAGUCUGUCAUGUGCUAUUUUUGUGAAAACUGUGAACUUUACUGUUAUAGUGUUUUUGUUUUUAUUGUGCAAGAGCAGUUAUUUUUUGAAAAAAUGGGAAAACGUAAAGACGGUAAAUCCAAGGUUUACUAUUCGCGCCGGAAAUCAAGGAAACACAAAAGAGUUAUUAUCUAACUAAUACUAAAAAAACAUCUCCUGAUACCAUAACUGACUACGUUAUAGAAGGAAGGAGAAUCGUAGAUAUUCAGAAGCUUUUUAAAGAAAUCCAGAAUUUAUCCAGACACCCUCCAUUUAAUUGCACAAUUGCAGAUAUGAACAUUUUGACGGAAAAUAGAAAAGGCUUAAAAAGUUCAAUUUUACUAAAGUGCAAAAUGUGCAAUUUAGAAAAAUACCUCAAUCUGUUUACUCAAGAUGAGUCUGAAACAUCCAUGGACAUAAAUGCCGCAGCAGCCUUAGCAACCAUUUCAACGGGUAUUGGAUUUACUGCCGCAGAAGAAUUUAUGGCCAUACUGGAUGUCCCUUUUAUGUCUCCAAAUACAUAUCAGCAGCACCAUGAGUUUGUGGGAGAAAAGAUAAGGGAAACGGCUUGAAAAGCAAUGGAGGAAGCCGCACAAGAAGAGAGUUUAUUGGCCAAAGAAUUAGGAGAAGUAGACCAAAAUAAUCGCCCCUGUAUCACUGUUGUGGCUGAUGGUGCUUGGAGCAAAAGGUCUUAUAAUGUUAAUUAUGAUGCUGCUUCAGGAGUUGCUUGUAUAAUUGGACAGAGGACCGGAAAACUUUUAUUUCUUGGCAUCCGAAAUAAAUACUGCAGCUUUUGUGCAUACGCCAGUGCCAAAAACAUGGAAGUCAUUCCAGAUCAUACAUGUUAUAAGAACUGGUCAAAUACAUCCACAAGUAUGGAAUCCGACAUAAUUGUGGAAGGAUUUCGAAAAAGUAUUGACAUGUAUAAUAUUAUUUAUAAAAGACUUGUUGGGGAUGGUGACAGUAGCGUCUAUAAAAAACUGAUCGAGGCUCGCCCAUAUGGAAGUUUACAUGUGGAGAAAAUUGAGUGCAGGAAUCAUUUAUUAAGAAAUUUUUGCUCCAAAUUGCGUGAAAUAUCUAAUAAGUUUAUUUAUCAUUAGCAUUAAUUUUUGAAAAAGCUAUUAAUUGUUCUUUAUUUAUUUUAGGUAAAAAAAGAAGCAACAGUACAAAUAAUCCGGUUUCACCAUACCUGCGCAAACAUAUUUUGAACAAUAUACGAAGGAUGAGAACUGCUGUGGCAAUGGCUGUUACUCAAAGAAAUAAAGAAGAUAAAAGCUUUAGUAUUAAAAUAGAAAAUCUUACUAAAGAUUUAAAAAAUAUACCAUCCCACGUAUUUGGAGAGCAUCUAAACUGUACAGCCAUAGGAUAUUUUAGAUGUGUAAAAAGUUUGGAGAAAAAAAUUAUAUUGAAGAAAUGAAGGCAUGUGGGGUUUUGCAAGACAUUGAAGUUUGUCUAAAUAGACUCAUAUUGCAUGCUUCCAGUUUGUUAAGAAAUAUGGACAAUAAUGUAGCUGAACAUUAUAACUCUGUGGUAUGCAAGUUUAUUGGCGGAAAGCGCAUCAAUUUUUCAAAAAGAAGGUCUUAUCAAAUACGGUGUGAAGCUGCAGCCCUAUCUUAUAAUCUUGGAAGCGGAGAAUACCACAAACAAAUUUUUAAAUCAAUUGCUGAAAAAAGUCCUUCUGGUCAUACAAAAAAAUUUAUUAAUAGAGUUAAACAAAGACGUAUUAAUACUCUUAAAAUAAGACCAAAAACCCUAUUUAAAAAACGAAAUAAAUCAAUUGCGCUUCCUGAUAAAGAUUAUGGGGAUCAGGAGGCAGAUAAUAGCAUACAGCCAGACAUGGAAGAAAAUUUAUUUGAAGAAAAAAAAAAGGAAUUUUUAGAAGAACUCGAAAAUUUAGAAGAAAUGAAAAUGAGAUUAAGGAUUUAGAGAUUAGUACCAGAGGACAAGGAGGAAAUCCAAAGUGGUAUCAAGAAAGGAGUUUAAGGCUUACAGCGUCAAAUUUUGGAAAUAUUUGCAAAAUGCUAGAAAAAACAAAUUGCAAAAAUAAAGUAAAAGCAAUUCUUUAUUCCAAGUUUCGGGGCAAUAAACACACUAAGUAUGGCACCGAAAAAGAACCAUUUGCUAUUCAACAAUUUGAGGAAACCUACAAUUUAAAAGUUGAAAUGUGUGGUCUUUUUAUUGAUUCCGAAUGUUGUGCUUUGGCUGCUAGCCCUGAUGGGCUAGUUGGCUCAAGAGGAUUAGUAGAAGUAAAGUGCCCAUCAACAGCUUCAGCAAUCAGCCCUACAGAAGCUAUCAAUAAAAAAAUAAUCAAGUUUGCCACCCUUGAUGAAAAUGGACAGAUGCAUUUAAAACAGAACCAUGAUUAUUUUUAUAAAAUCCAAGGCCAGCUUCAUAUCACAAAAAGAGAUUUUUGUUAUUUUAUUUUAUGGACACCUAUGGGGAUGCUGGUAGAACAGAUUUGGCGGCAGGACUCAUUCUGGAAUGACAAAAUGAUAGGAAAAUUAAAAAGUUUCUAUUACAAUUGUUUAUUACCGGAAAUUAUCGACCCGCGAUAUAGUAGAGGACUGGAAAUAAGAAAUCCAUCGAGAAAAUAACAACAUUUCAAUUUUAAAAUAGGUAUAUUAAUAGAUUUUUGCAAAUAUAAAACUGUACUUUUUAAAAUAAAAUUUAAAAUAUAAGUAUGUAUAUAAUUGUUUUUUCAAUAAGAUUAGGGUAAAAUGUAUAACAGUUCAAAAAAGAUGUAUAAAAAAAACAAUUAUACAUAGAUUUUGUAUAAAAAAUGUAUAUUUUUUUAAAAAUGCCUUUUAAAAACUCCCCCGUACAUCAUUAACAAAAAGUCUCGCAAAAAGUUUAAUAAUAAUUGUAGCAAAAAAAAAAUUAUAUGAAAUAGGAUCGAGCACCCCAUUUCAAAGAAAAAUUUUGCCAAUAAUCGACAAUCGUAAUGUCUCAUUAUUCAAGUUUCAUAAUUCCCCGCGCCAUGCUAUGCCAUCCUCACCAGAUUUAUAUGACACGCGAGAACCUAUCGGUUUGGUCGCCGCUUUGAAAUGACCCCUUCCCUUCAUCCUUCCGCUGAGUGUUGCCAUAUGUUGGGUGAGCCAAAAAAUCGCCUAUAUUUUGAAAUCCGAGUUGGUCACGUGCUGAUGGAUGCUCUUAAG